GAGAAAAAAAAAAAAAAAUCGAAGAGCCACUUUGCCCGCACCGCGCCGGGGUGUGCAAUAGGUGGAAUCUCCGAUGAAUACAACCAGUGCCUCUGUCAAGCACCGACACGCAAGCUUGGAGCGUACUCUGGUUGCAGAAUGACCAAAGUUCUAAGUUAUUUCUUGUUAAUCACAAGAAAUUAUUUGCACAGAGUGAUUUCGUGCGAUAAGCAUAUAUGGCACAAUUGCUUCGUCGAUACCAAAGCUGCCACGUGUUAGUCCUAGUAACUCCACGAGACGAGCGAGGGGACAGAGCACCUUUAUGCUCGGAAGUCAGGUGACAAAUGAAUGAAUGAGAUGAUGAAAUCAUCUCUGUUUACUGUGAAAGAUAUAACUUUAUUUUCAGCCAGUCAUUCGUCUUUUUAAAAGUCUUUUUUCUUCUGAUAUACUAAGUUUGGUGUUCUGCAUAUAAUUUUGGUGAUUGUUUGACAAACAUAUCCGGAGCAUGGGCCUAUGUAUGGACUAUUAACAUUCCAUACGUUUUUAAUGUGGUGACCUUGUCAUUAAUGCAGCUAACAGCAGAGCAAACCAAGGCAGAAGAAGUACAACUCAUUAUAUAGCUACUCUUGCUUUUGGUUUUAAGCAUCUUCUAAGUUAGAGAAUGUUUUGAAAAUCAGGAAACACCCAUGUUUUUUAAAGGUGGAAAUAAGAGUGAAUUAAAGAAAACUCACAUAUGCCUAUGUAUGAAUUUACAGCUAUUAUAGUCAGAGAUGCAGAACAUUUCUUUUUCUGUUUUUUCCCCCUUUUCAACAGAUAGCUUGAUAAAUGUAAUCCUUAGCAAUUAGCUGAAACACAAAAAUAUAUCGUGCAGAUCUGUCCUUCCCUUCAGUGGCACAGAACUGAACCAUUCUGUGAACUUAUAAAGACAAGUAUGUUCCUCUUUGAAUUCUUUCUCUCUGUUUAUGUAUAGAGAGAGGUGUUUAGAUUGUAUUCCUUGGAAAUUCUUACUUAUGGUGGUAUGCAGUUAAGAUGAAAUUAAUUUUAAAUUUUUUCUGUGGAGUUAUAGCUACAGAGAAGUGUACUAUAUUCAGUUUAAAAAUAUAAUGUUUUCUAAAAGAAGCAUAAUCUAAAUGCAUAUCUAAAAGAAGCAUAUUAAUGAAAAUAAAGUAAUAUUUUCAAGUCAUUGACAGAAAUGCAUUGAUGUCAGUGACUCAUAUUCUGAAGAGUAGCUUGUCAAUGACUCAUAUUCUGAAGAGCAGCUGUUGCAGCUUAUUUAAAUAGCUAUUGCUUGUUUUGGAAAAAUUACAUAUGUUAAUAGCAAAAACCUUCAAAUAUUCCAGUAUAAUUUGUACAUAUCUGGAAAAUUUUGGAAAACAAAUUGUUUUUUAAUCUUAAUGUAUUAGAAAGAAAAUGCUCUUAGUUUGAGAAAUUCCAAAAUUAUUAAUUUAAAUUAUUUAAAAAAAAUACAUCAGUAUUGUUUGGUAAUUUUAAGUUUAAAAAGAUUUAGUUACUUUGUAGUGUUUAUUCACUUAUGUGAAGGUAUACAUGUUUUUUUUUACUAUUUUUGAAACAUCUGUUAGUAUUUUAAUAAUUAAUUGACAUAUAAAUCUUUAGAGUUUUUAAGAAUCACUAUCUUCUGAUCUAUGAUUUGGGGAAUCUUGAAAAUACAUUGUUCCUUGCAUAUUUUUUCACCUAGCUUAGUGCAAGGUUCUGAAAAUUUUAAAUACAUACACAUAAUUUUCUCCUUCCUCUUUUGUUUAUAUUUUUUCCCUCUAAGCUCUUAUUGGUAAACUGUAUUCUCUUUAUUAUUUUUAUUUUGCAUAUUCAAUUUGUGUUUACAUUUCAUCAAUUUUAUUUUACUGGGCAUUUAUUAUUUGAAGAAAUUAUUGAAAGUAUUUUGUGCUUGUUUCCCAUUAAGCUACUGAAACGUGGCAGGUGUUCUCACACUGAGGAAGCACGUGGUUUGGCUUUAUAUCUAAUCUAUUGCUGAUGUGUUCAAUCUUGCAAAAUCUAAGCUUUUUGUUCCAUCCUCUUCUUUGUUCCUCUGAUGUCCCUCUAAUUAACUUCAGUCAAGACUCAUUUCUGUGAGGUGCCUUUGGGCUUUACAAGAUAAUUGAGCUGGACACAGCACAGAAAUUAUCAUCAGAUAUUGGCUCUAUAUUCAUCAGAUACUAUAAUGUUAAUAUUACUAUGUAUGCUAAUUGAAAUGCAAUUUAAGAAAUAAUAUUGAUAGUUAUCAGUAGUUUAUCCAUGAUUACUUUUCAUUUAUUACGUUCUUACUGUAACCGUGCUGUUCGGAAGUUAAAUUACUCUCAUAAUUUUCUGCUCUUGGUUUCGGAUAAUAAAAUUAGUUAAGAAAAGAGGAAAAAUACAUGAGAAAAGAUGAUAAAUAUAAUGAGACUUACACACACACACACACACACAUAUAUAUAUAUGUAUUUAAUUGAUUCCAAAGUUAUGAAUGGAUAUUUCAUAUAUUAUCAACUUAAUAAUGUGUUAUCCUCAAAACUUAUUUUCUAGGCCAUUCAUUGCAUUUUGAAACAUCUGUAAAUUAUGCAUCAUAUCAACCUAAUAUGAGUUCUGAACUUGAGGAUGUGAAGCCAAAUUUAAAUCAUCUGAAUAAUUUUGAAAAUGAAGUGACUAGAACUAUAACCCAGGUAUAUUCUUCUCAAAAGACAUGUUCAAAAUCAGCAGAUGAUGAAAAACUGAUUGCCAUUCUUAGAAGAUUAUCUCCCAAGGAAUGCCCAACAUGUCAUCAAGGCUUCACAGCAAGUGUUUUUAAUUACCAUAUGCUUAAUUGUCAAGGAGGAAUUUGUAACUCUGUGAAUUGUGAUGUAUGUGGGAAAACAUACAGAAAGAGGGUCUGAUACUUUGUGUGGAAAUAAUAUUUCAAUCAGUUUGGUUACUACCAUGGACUACCGACCAUUUUGUACAUUUUGUAAACGGCAGUUUCAUUCAGAACAAACUUUGAAACGUCAUAUAUCUGAACGUCAUGCUUUGAAUCCUCAAAGAUAUGGAUGUGAUUUAUGUCAGAAAAACUUUUCAAGAAGGCAUUAUGUAACAAUUCAUAAGAGAAUGAAUCAAUAUCGUGGAUUUUGUUCCUUAUAAUUUCACCUAUGGGCCAACAAUCGGACGAUUCUCUCAGCAGUGGAAAACGGUUCUUCCCACCAGCAUGAAUCAAACAAAUGUUUAGGAGAAAUCCGCGAGACAUCAAAUCAGCUGGAAAAGUGUUCUUCGAAGAAUGUGAAAAUAUAAAUUUAAAUGUAAUGUUAAAUUAAAUGAUAUUUUGUAAAACUUGGCUCAAGCAUUUAGAUUUUAAAAUCUUAUUCAAGGUCAUUAAACCUUUUGUU
Stegodyphus dumicola is the source of this 3329-nucleotide long non-coding RNA. NCBI's taxonomy places the organism in Eukaryota, Metazoa, Arthropoda, Arachnida, Araneae, Eresidae. The record is from RefSeq and is a predicted model, not a curated record.